RNAcentral lists this ribosomal RNA (1053 nucleotides) under Escherichia coli. RNAcentral's name for it is "partial 23S ribosomal RNA". It matches the Rfam family "Bacterial large subunit ribosomal RNA", at positions 148 to 1239 of the family's 2925-position model. Lineage: Bacteria; Pseudomonadati; Pseudomonadota; Gammaproteobacteria; Enterobacterales; Enterobacteriaceae. The record is from RNAcentral.
CUAUCAUUAACUGAAUCCAUAGGUUAAUGAGGCGAACCGGGGGAACUGAAACAUCUAAGUACCCCGAGGAAAAGAAAUCAACCGAGAUUCCCCCAGUAGCGGCGAGCGAACGGGGAGGAGCCCAGAGCCUGAAUCAGUGUGUGUGUUAGUGGAAGCGUCUGGAAAGGCGCGCGAUACAGGGUGACAGCCCCGUACACAAAAAUGCACAUGCUGUGAGCUCGAUGAGUAGGGCGGGACACGUGGUAUCCUGUCUGAAUAUGGGGGGACCAUCCUCCAAGGCUAAAUACUCCUGACUGACCGAUAGUGAACCAGUACCGUGAGGGAAAGGCGAAAAGAACCCCGGCGAGGGGAGUGAAAAAGAACCUGAAACCGUGUACGUACAAGCAGUGGGAGCACAGAGCAAUCUGUGUGACUGCGUACCUUUUGUAUAAUGGGUCAGCGACUUAUAUUCUGUAGCAAGGUUAACCGAAUAGGGGAGCCGAAGGGAAACCGAGUCUUAACUGGGCGUUAAGUUGCAGGGUAUAGACCCGAAACCCGGUGAUCUAGCCAUGGGCAGGUUGAAGGUUGGGUAACACUAACUGGAGGACCGAACCGACUAAUGUUGAAAAAUUAGCGGAUGACUUGUGGCUGGGGGUGAAAGGCCAAUCAAACCGGGAGAUAGCUGGUUCUCCCCGAAAGCUAUUUAGGUAGCGCCUCGUGAAUUCAUCUCCGGGGGUAGAGCACUGUUUCGGCAAGGGGGUCAUCCCGACUUACCAACCCGAUGCAAACUGCGAAUACCGGAGAAUGUUAUCACGGGAGACACACGGCGGGUGCUAACGUCCGUCGUGAAGAGGGAAACAACCCAGACCGCCAGCUAAGGUCCCAAAGUCAUGGUUAAGUGGGAAACGAUGUGGGAAGGCCCAGACAGCCAGGAUGUUGGCUUAGAAGCAGCCAUCAUUUAAAGAAAGCGUAAUAGCUCACUGGUCGAGUCGGCCUGCGCGGAAGAUGUAACGGGGCUAAACCAUGCACCGAAGCUGCGGCAGCGACACUGUGUGUUGUUGGGUAGGGGAGCGU